UGAGCGUUUUGGUGAGAGGUGCUCAGAUAGGACCAAAGUCAGUAGAAGAUGAAGAAGAAAGAUGUCCAUGCCAUACUACUGCUACUGCCAUGUUGGCCGAAAAGAUGGCACUGAAACCGGCAGCAAUAUUUUGACCAGACACGGGUGUCGUGCAGCGUGGGGUCUGUGGCGGAGGGGGCUACUGACUGUGAGCGGUGCAGUGGUUUGUUUACAAACAAGAGGGGUCCAUGUGAUCAAAUACUGCCGAAACCCACCGAGGUACAGCUCAACAUGCGCCUGCUAGCAGCCUUACCUUUGGUUCACAUUCAGGAACUCUACGCCUAUUCAGGCAUUUAUUUUAUAAGAAUUGAAUAAAUAUAUUUGUCUGGAAUUUUUUUAUUUUGAUAUAAAAAAUUAUGAUAUUGAUUAUAGUAAUAGACAGAAAAGGAGAAUGAAGAUAUAAACAUAAUAACUGUUUCAGGAGUUUCAAAUUCAAUAUACCUAAUAUAAUCUGUAAAUAUUGUCCUUGGUAUUGCUUUGACGAUUUGCUUUGGUACAUGAAAAUAUUUGAAAGUGAAAUAGUUUAAAAGCUUUGCGAACGUACCGUGUAUUAAAAAAAACGAUAGUUUUUGAGUACUUAAAAAUCUAAAGUCUGCUGCAAGGCUGUAGGUGAACCAAAAGAUUUUCUAUAAACACAAAUUCAUAAAGUGUAAUUACAAACCAGCUUUUUGAAGUUUAAUUUUGUUCCAUGUCAUAUUUUCAAUGUACUUUAGAACAAAUCUGCCCAUCAUCCGAAUUAUCA
Lingula anatina is the source of this 781-nucleotide long non-coding RNA. RefSeq lists it as uncharacterized. NCBI's taxonomy places the organism in Eukaryota, Metazoa, Brachiopoda, Lingulata, Lingulida, Lingulidae. The record is from RefSeq and is a predicted model, not a curated record.